RNAcentral lists this ribosomal RNA (253 nucleotides) under uncultured bacterium. RNAcentral describes it as "partial 16S ribosomal RNA". It matches the Rfam family "Bacterial small subunit ribosomal RNA", at positions 524 to 776 of the family's 1533-position model. The record is from RNAcentral.
UACGUAGGGGGCAAGCGUUGUCCGGAUUUAUUGGGUUUAAAGGGUGCGUAGGCGGUCCUAUAAGUCAGUUGUGAAAUACGGCAGCUUAACUGUCGAGGUGCAAUUGAUACUGCAGGACUUGAGUACAGACGAGGUAGGCGGAAUUGACGGUGUAGCGGUGAAAUGCUUAGAUAUCGGCAAGAACACCUAUAGCGAAGGCGGCUCACUGGCCCGGUACUGACGCUUAAGAGCGAAAGCGUGGGGAGCAAACAGG